This 506-nucleotide ribosomal RNA is filed under the name uncultured Glomeromycotina. Its description in RNAcentral is "partial small subunit ribosomal RNA". It matches the Rfam family "Eukaryotic small subunit ribosomal RNA", at positions 591 to 1092 of the family's 1831-position model. Lineage: Eukaryota; Fungi; Glomeromycota. The record is from RNAcentral.
CCAAUAGCGUAUAUUAAAGUUGUUGCGGUUAAAAAGCUCGUAGUUGAAUUUCGGAAUUGAUGCAUCGGUCAUGCCUUAAGGGGCAUGAACUGGUGUAGCCAAUUUCUCAUCUUCUGGUGAAUUGUGAUGUUCUUAAUUGGGUGUCUCAAUGAACUGGAAUUUUUUACUUUGAAAAAAUUAGAGUGUUUAAAGCAGGCAGUGAUUUGCUUGAAUACAUUAGCAUGGAAUAAUGAAAUAGGACGGUGGUUCUGUUUUGUUGGUUUCUAGGAUCACGUAAUGAUUAAUAGGGACAGUUGGGGGCAUUAGUAUUCAAUUGUCAGAGGUGAAAUUCUUGGAUUUAUUGAAGACUAACUAUUGCGAAAGCAUUUGCCAAGGAUGUUUUCAUUAAUCAAGAACGAAAGUUAGGGGAUCAAAGACGAUUAAGUACGUCGUAGUCCUAACCAUAAACUAUGCCGACUAGGAAUCAGACGAUGUUAAUUUUUUAAUGACUCGUUUGGUACCUUACG